Molecule: unclassified non-coding RNA, 202 nt
Filed under: Hevea brasiliensis (rubber tree)
Lineage: Eukaryota; Viridiplantae; Streptophyta; Magnoliopsida; Malpighiales; Euphorbiaceae
Source: RNAcentral
GAUAAGAUCAUCACACUCGAGAUCCAGCAUUACAACACAUGAUCUGUACCUUGCUAGAGUUUCUAAGAUGACAACUCUUCUUCCGAAGGAUGGACUAUUUAUAUCACCUAAGCCGCUGAAAGUGCUCACAAUCAAAUGGAAGAUGUCCUUUAGAACAUCAUCACUGUACGGUGCUUCAGGUGCAGUAAUUCUAGUUAUCUCA